AAGCCGGAAUCGCUAGUAAUCGUGGAUCAGCAUGCCACGGUGAAUACGUUCCCGGGCCUUGUACACACCGCCCGUCACACCACGAGAGUUUGUAACACCCGAAGUCGGUAGGGUAACCUUUAUGGAGCCAGCCGCCGAAGGUGGGACAGAUAAUUGGGGUGAAGUCGUAACAAGGUAGCCGUAUCGGAAGGUGCGGCUGGAUCACCUCCUUUCUAAGGAA
RNAcentral lists this ribosomal RNA (220 nucleotides) under Listeria monocytogenes. RNAcentral describes it as "partial 16S ribosomal RNA". It matches the Rfam family "Bacterial small subunit ribosomal RNA", at positions 1323 to 1533 of the family's 1533-position model. The record is from RNAcentral. Lineage: Bacteria; Bacillati; Bacillota; Bacilli; Caryophanales; Listeriaceae.